UCGCGAACAACUGCAGCAACAACAACGGGUUAGUCACGCGAACGACUAGCCCAUUCGAUUAUUAUUCGAGCAAUUCGCACAAGGAUAAAUUAUAGUAGUCUUCAUGGGACUGUAUUUGAAUGAUUCAAAAAAAUAAUUAUGAUUACGAGUCGGAAACUAACUAGUUAGUCACAUCGAACGUGCUCGAUUUUGUGAUCACCGUUUAUAAAGAUGCAGCAAGAGCUAGAAAAAAGGAUAUUGAACAGUAUGGGUAACAGAAGAGGAAAGAUCAAGAGGAUGAAUAAGAAAGAUUUAGAGGUGGAGGAAGAAAUCGGGGUUGCUGCGAUAGCGAAGGUGGAGAGGAUGAGGCUAUUCGGAAGACUGAAGAGGCCGAAGCUAUGAAGAACGGAGCACGAUCUUUCCUUGUCAUCGUGACCGUCUCUGGCCGAUUUUUAAACAAGGAGGCGAAUUCAAACGGCAUUGUGUCGUCACGUGCAGCCACUCGCUCUCUCUCAACAGAAUGUUGUUAGAACCUCUUUCCUCUGUAUAACCGCAAAACUUUUAUAUAUUGUCUCUUCUUCCAGUUUUCUUCUAUCCUUAUUUUACUUCUCUAUUUUAUUCUUUCCUUUCUCAUAUCCAUUGUUUUUGUUUUCUUACAAUUAAUAAUUUAUAUUUUUUUCAUUAACAUAUAUAUAUAUAUUAUAAGCAUUUAUAAGCAUUCUUGUUAAAUUUUUGUGUAAAAUAAAAAAUGCAGAUCGAUUACAAUUCCUAUUUCCUUCUUUGAAAAACUUUCAAUAUUUUUUAUUUCGAUUACCUUCGAAAUAAUAAUUUCCUUUUACAUCGACAUGCAUUAAUAUUGUGUCAUGAUUAUAUUCCAAUUUUAUUUUCAUUAUUACAUAUUCUCUAAUAUGUUAUGUGAUAAUUUUAGAAUUUUUUGAACGCGAUAUUUCUCUAUUGUUCAAGAUUCGUUUAAAUGCUAUAACUAUUUCGUUUCGAUUUAUCAGUGUAAAAACUACAUAUGAUAAAACACAAAAUAUAAAUAUUUCUUUAUUUUUCUCUGAAUAAUACAUCUAGCAUUAAACAAUAAGAUGAUAGCAAGUCUAAUCUUUCGGUUCGGAUAUCAUAAUGGUUAAGUAAAAAUUCAUUUUUUAAUAUUGUAAAAUAUACAUAUACAUGUACAUACAUACAUACGAGCGUUUGCAUGCACAAUAAGAUCACACAUACCAGUUAUUUACACAGUUUUAUACAAUAUUUUCUUUAUUCUUUUCUUCUGAAAGAUUUUCUUUAAAUAUCAAUUAAAUCACAGCAACCAUCUCCUAAUUUAUAUUAAUUAUUCCUCUAUAAUUAUUUAAAUGUCUUCCGUCACAAUAUUUUCUCUUAAUGACAUUUUAUAUAAGUCUUGUGUCAUUAUUAGGAAAUGGC
Long non-coding RNA from Apis florea (little honeybee), 1401 nucleotides. The record is from RefSeq and is a predicted model, not a curated record. Lineage: Eukaryota; Metazoa; Arthropoda; Insecta; Hymenoptera; Apidae.